This 45-nucleotide non-coding RNA is filed under the name Schistosoma margrebowiei. Lineage: Eukaryota; Metazoa; Platyhelminthes; Trematoda; Strigeidida; Schistosomatidae. The record is from RNAcentral.
GUCCAAAUGACGAGUUCCAAACAGGACGAAACGCGCGUCCUGGAU